GUGCUUGCUUCAGCAGCACAUAUACUAAAAUUGGAACAAUACAGACAAGAUUAGCAUGGCCCUGAACAAGGAUGACAUGCAAAUUCGUGAAGUGUUCAUAUUUUUU
Molecule: small nuclear RNA, 106 nt
Filed under: Sciurus vulgaris (Eurasian red squirrel)
Lineage: Eukaryota; Metazoa; Chordata; Mammalia; Rodentia; Sciuridae
Source: RNAcentral